GGGCCCGUAGCUCAGCCUGGUAGAGCGGCGGAGGACCCAGUCGGGCCUGCCGAGGCUCUUAGGGGCGGUUGCCGCCCGUAGAAACCCGUAGGUCGUGGGUUCGAAUCCCACCGGGCCCG
This 119-nucleotide transfer RNA is filed under the name Pyrobaculum islandicum DSM 4184. Its description in RNAcentral is "tRNA-OTHER". It matches the Rfam family "tRNA". From Rfam's summary of the family: Transfer RNA (tRNA) molecules are approximately 80 nucleotides in length. Their secondary structure includes four short double-helical elements and three loops (D, anti-codon, and T loops). Further hydrogen bonds mediate the characteristic L-shaped molecular structure. tRNAs have two regions of fundamental functional importance: the anti-codon, which is responsible for specific mRNA codon recognition, and the 3' end, to which the tRNAs corresponding amino acid is attached (by aminoacyl-tRNA synthetases). tRNAs cope with the degeneracy of the genetic code in two manners: having more than one tRNA (with a specific anti-codon) for a particular amino acid; and 'wobble' base-pairing, i.e. permitting non-standard base-pairing at the 3rd anti-codon position. Lineage: Archaea; Thermoproteati; Thermoproteota; Thermoprotei; Thermoproteales; Thermoproteaceae. The record is from RNAcentral.